This 500-nucleotide ribosomal RNA is filed under the name uncultured bacterium. RNAcentral describes it as "partial 16S ribosomal RNA". It matches the Rfam family "Bacterial small subunit ribosomal RNA", at positions 30 to 523 of the family's 1533-position model. The record is from RNAcentral.
AUUGAACGCUGGCGGCAGGCCUAACACAUGCAAGUCGAGCGGAUGAAGGGAGCUUGCUCCUGGACUCAGCGGCGGACGGGUGAGUAAUGCCUAGGAAUCUGCCUGGUAGUGGGGGACAACGUUUCGAAAGGAACGCUAAUACCGCAUACGUCCUACGGGAGAAAGCAGGGGACCUUCGGGCCUUGCGCUAUCAGAUGAGCCUAGGUCGGAUUAGCUAGUUGGUGAGGUAAUGGCUCACCAAGGCGACGAUCCGUAACUGGUCUGAGAGGAUGAUCAGUCACACUGGAACUGAGACACGGUCCAGACUCCUACGGGAGGCAGCAGUGGGGAAUAUUGGACAAUGGGCGAAAGCCUGAUCCAGCCCUGCCGCGUGUGUGAAGAAGGUCUUCGGAUUGUAAAGCACUUUAAGUUGGGAGGAAGGGUUGUAGAUUAAUACUCUGCAAUUUUGACGUUACCGACAGAAUAAGCACCGGCUAACUCUGUGCCAGCAGCCGCGGUAA